RNAcentral lists this ribosomal RNA (406 nucleotides) under uncultured bacterium. RNAcentral's name for it is "partial 16S ribosomal RNA". It matches the Rfam family "Bacterial small subunit ribosomal RNA", at positions 30 to 526 of the family's 1533-position model. The record is from RNAcentral.
AUUGAACGCUGGCGGCAGGCCUAACACAUGCAAGUCGAACGAGUGGCGGACGGGUGAGUAAUGUCUGGGAAACUGCCCGAUGGAGGGGGAUCACUCCUGGACCCGGUAGCUAAUACCGAAUACUAUCGGAUAUGCCCAGAUGGGAAUAGCUAGUAGGUGGGGUACCGGCUCACCUAGGCGACGAUCCCUAGCUGGUCGGAGAGGAUGACCGGCCACACUGUAAGGGAGACACGGUCCAGAGUCCUACGUGAGGCAGCAGUGGGGAAUAUUGCACAAUGGGCGCAAGCCUGAUGCAGCCAUGCCGGGUGGAUGAAGAAGGCCUUGGGGUGGUAAAGUACUUUCAGCGAGGAGGCGUUACUCGCAGAAGAAGCACCGGCUAACUCCGUGCCAGCAGCCGCGGUAAUUC